GUACUUGCUUCGGCAGUACAUAUACUAAAAUUGGAACAAUAUAGGGAAGAGUAGAGCAUGGCCCCUGUACAAGGGUGGCAGGCAAAAUUGCAUUUGCUU
This 99-nucleotide small nuclear RNA is filed under the name Bombyx mori (domestic silkworm). The record is from RNAcentral. Lineage: Eukaryota; Metazoa; Arthropoda; Insecta; Lepidoptera; Bombycidae.